AUCCUUCUACAGGAAGCGGCAGAACCUUCGUAGUUCAACAGGGAUCUGUGAGCUAUGCAGGGCUGAUAAGCAGCACUCAUGGAGACAAAGCUAGGUAAAUCUUGCUGCUGUUCACUCUUUGGGUCCACACUGCCUUUAUGAGCUGUAACACUCACCAUGAAGGUCUGCAGCUUCACUCCUGAAGCCAGCGAGACCACAAACCCACCGGGAGGAAUGAACAGCUGCAGACGCGCGGCCUUAAGAGCUGUAACACUCACCAGGAAGGUCCGCAGCUUCACUCCUAAGCCAGCGAGACCAGGAACCCCACCAGAAGGAAAAAACUCCGAACACAUCUGAACAUCAGAAGGAACAAACUCCGGACACGCUGCCUUUGAGAACUGUGACACUCACCGUGAGGGUCCGCGGCUUCAUUCCUGAAGUCAGUGAGACCAAGAACCCACCAAUUCCGGACAUGUUUCCUCACUUCCUUUAUAGCUUAUUUAAAUGUGACUUUCUCGAGGUUGUCUUUGACCAUCCUUUGUGAAACAGCACUCCUAUCAAUGUCACCUUCCCCUGCUUGGUUUUUGUUAUUAGCACUUAUUGCCAUCUCUGGCAGAGAUUUAUAGCACAUUAAAUAUCCAUUUGCUACCAGCUCCUUUCAUAUAACCCUUGCAAUUAGGUCAGGCCCUAUAAACAAUGGGCUGUGAGCAAAAAGGGGCAUAUACACAUCUAGGCAAAAGCACCAAAUGCAACCCUCCAGCUCUGUCUUCCCCUGCUGCAGUGAUCUAGACCACAUGUUGCAGUGGUGAAGCCACAGAGUGGACACAGCCUAAAUCACUGAGUCACUGCCUGGGUCAGCUGUUCUGGGAAGUUGCCUGGCUCAGUGAGUUUUCCAUGGUGGAAAAAUAAACUUUGUUGUGUUAAAUCACUGAGCUUUUGGGAUUGAUUUGUUACCACAGCAUAAUGUAUUAUCUGAUAUGGUCUAAAUUGUGUCCCUCCACCCCCAAAAUUCAUAUGUUGAAGUCCUAACUCCCAGAUCUCAGAAUGUGACUGCAUUUUGAGAUAGGGUCCUUAAAGAGGAGGUUAAAAAAGGAGAUUAGAGUGGGCCCUAAUCCAAUAUGACAGAUGUCCUCAUAAGAAGAGGUGAUUAGGUCGGGUGCGGUGGCUUACACCUGUAAUUCCAGCACUUUGAGAGGCCAAGGUGGGCAGAUGAGGUCAGGAGUUCGAGA
RNAcentral lists this long non-coding RNA (1208 nucleotides) under Homo sapiens (human). Its description in RNAcentral is "HSALNT0357689". Lineage: Eukaryota; Metazoa; Chordata; Mammalia; Primates; Hominidae. The record is from RNAcentral.